UACGAAGGGGGCUAGCGUUGCUCGGAAUCACUGGGCGUAAAGCGCACGUAGGCGGAUUGUUAAGUCAGGGGUGAAAUCCUGGAGCUCAACUCCAGAACUGCCUUUGAUACUGGCAAUCUCGAGUCCGGGAGAGGUGAGUGGAACUGCGAGUGUAGAGGUGAAAUUCGUAGAUAUCAGGAAGAACACCCGUGGCUAAGGCGGCUCUCUAGUACGGUACUGACGCUGAGACGCGAAAGCGUGGGGAGCGAACAGG
This 253-nucleotide ribosomal RNA is filed under the name uncultured bacterium. RNAcentral's name for it is "partial 16S ribosomal RNA". It matches the Rfam family "Bacterial small subunit ribosomal RNA", at positions 524 to 776 of the family's 1533-position model. The record is from RNAcentral.